CCCAAUUUUCUUUGAAUCUUGGCUCAAAAAUCCAUAAAAAAACCAAGAUUCGAUUAUCUGACUUGGUUCGAUUUUGAAUUAAGACACACUUACAAUUUAAUUUGACCGAGUGAGACGAUCACAAGAAGUUCCAAGGUACAAACUCAAUGAACAUUUAAAUAACCUUUAUUACGUUACUAAUAUUCAUUUCAAAUUCAUUCCAUAGUUCAUAUGAAGU
This 217-nucleotide long non-coding RNA is filed under the name Olea europaea subsp. europaea. The record is from RNAcentral. Lineage: Eukaryota; Viridiplantae; Streptophyta; Magnoliopsida; Lamiales; Oleaceae.